RNAcentral lists this ribosomal RNA (406 nucleotides) under uncultured bacterium. RNAcentral describes it as "bacterial SSU rRNA". It matches the Rfam family "Bacterial small subunit ribosomal RNA", at positions 86 to 507 of the family's 1533-position model. The record is from RNAcentral.
CGAGUACAAGUGGCGCACGGGGUGAGUAACACGUGACUUAUCUACCCUCGAGUGGGGAAUAACUUCGGGAAACCGAGGCUAAUACCGCAUAAUACCCACGGGUCAAAGGAGCAAUUCGCUUGAGGAGGAGGUCGCGGCCCGAUUAGUUAGUUGGCGGGGUAAUGGCCCCCACCCAAGACGGUGGAUCGGUAGUCCGGCCGUCGAGAGGGCGGCACGGACGACACUGGAACGUGAAACAACGGUCCGACGACGUCCUACGGAGGGCGAGCAGUGGGGAAUUUUGCGCAAUGGGGGAAACCCUGACGCAGCAACGCCGCGUGGAGGAUGAAGUCUCUUGGGACGUAAACUCCUUUCGAUCGGGACGAUUAUGACGGUACCGGAAGAAGAAGCCCCGGCUAACUUCGUG